CGUAGGAUGACCAGAAGACCAGUUGAAGACACUUGAUGAUGGAUGAGGAGCUCAGAGUGGUCCAGUAGAUAUCAUUGUGGCAGAUGGAAACACACUGUCUAAAGCUAAGUGUCUCUACAUUGUUGGUGCAGUUGCAGUAUACCUUAAGCUAAUACUAGAUGAAAAGGACUCGGGCUGGUGCAUGUUUGUGUUUGUGUGUGUGUGUGUGUGUGUGUGUGGAGUAUUCCAGAGUUUGGUAGGGACUAUGACGUCUGCGUUGAUGACACCUACACUGAGUGAAGAACAGCCUCCACUUCUGUCACCAGUGGCUUUGAUGAAGAUCAUAAUUCAGAUGGCAUCGACUCUAUGAGGAGCACACAUGGACUAGGACCUGCCCUGGAUGAGGACGACCCUGGAGGACUAGCGUGGAUGAUGUCUAAAGAACCUUAUGGAAAAGAAGACACAAAAAAAGAAAAAAAAAAAAAAAAAGAAGUGGGCGAGGUGCAUCAGGUGGCGCUAUAACUAAUACUGAAUAUGGGCAUGUAGAUCUGUUCAGAUUAGGAGUCGUAUCAAACGUGAAGUUUGGAGCAGAUUGGACAUUGUAUGUCUGAGUUAUAGCAACUUCCUUUUUCAUGGCGAAGCAUUGAAGUUUGUCAAAGUCCCAUGGACGUGUCCUUCAACGAAAACUGAAGAUCUUCACAAUUUCUCUCCACUGCUUCUCUUUCUCUCCCCAUCCCGAGACACCCUGAGGUUUGGCCAGCUCCAGUCACAUCCCACCUCAUGAAGAUUAUGGACCUUGAAGAAGUAGAUGCCGA
This is a long non-coding RNA of Silurus meridionalis, 794 nucleotides long. RefSeq lists it as uncharacterized. The transcript has 4 exons. Lineage: Eukaryota; Metazoa; Chordata; Actinopteri; Siluriformes; Siluridae. The record is from RefSeq and is a predicted model, not a curated record.